Molecule: small nuclear RNA, 102 nt
Filed under: Bos grunniens (domestic yak)
Lineage: Eukaryota; Metazoa; Chordata; Mammalia; Artiodactyla; Bovidae
Source: RNAcentral
GUGCUCUUUGGCAGCACAUACACUAAAAGCGGGUGGACAGGAGGAUUAGCAUAGCCCCUGCAGAAGGAUGACAUUCAAAUUCGUGAAGUGCUCCAUAUUUUU